RNAcentral lists this ribosomal RNA (736 nucleotides) under uncultured Chitinophagaceae bacterium. RNAcentral describes it as "bacterial SSU rRNA". It matches the Rfam family "Bacterial small subunit ribosomal RNA", at positions 94 to 828 of the family's 1533-position model. The record is from RNAcentral. Lineage: Bacteria; Pseudomonadati; Bacteroidota; Chitinophagia; Chitinophagales; Chitinophagaceae.
ACCGGCAAACGGGUGCGGAACACGUACACAACCUUCCUAUAAGCGGGGAAUAGCCCAGAGAAAUUUGGAUUAAUACCCCGUAACAUAACGAUGUGGCAUCACAUUGUUAUUAUAGCUUCGGCGCUUAUUGAUGGGUGUGCGGCUGAUUAGAUAGUUGGCGGGGUAACGGCCCACCAAGUCUACGAUCAGUAGCUGACGUGAGAGCAUGAUCAGCCACACGGGCACUGAGACACGGGCCCGACUCCUACGGGAGGCAGCAGUAAGGAAUAUUGGUCAAUGGACGCAAGUCUGAACCAGCCAUGCCGCGUGAAGGAUUAAGGUCCUCUGGAUUGUAAACUUCUUUUAUCUGGGACGAAAAAAGGCUUUUCUAAGUCACUUGACGGUACCAGAUGAAUAAGCACCGGCUAACUCCGUGCCAGCAGCCGCGGUAAUACGGAGGGUGCAAGCGUUAUCCGGAUUCACUGGGUUUAAAGGGUGCGUAGGCGGGCAGGUAAGUCAGUGGUGAAAUCCUGGAGCUUAACUCCAGAACUGCCAUUGAUACUAUCUGUCUUGAAUAUUGUGGAGGUAAGCGGAAUAUGUCAUGUAGCGGUGAAAUGCUUAGAUAUGACAUAGAACACCUAUUGCGAAGGCAGCUUACUACGCAUAUAUUGACGCUGAGGCACGAAAGCGUGGGGAUCAAACAGGAUUAGAUACCCUGGUAGUCCACGCCCUAAACGAUGGAUACUCGACAUACGCG